Molecule: ribosomal RNA, 252 nt
Filed under: uncultured bacterium
Lineage: Bacteria
Description: partial 16S ribosomal RNA
Rfam family: Bacterial small subunit ribosomal RNA
Source: RNAcentral
UACGUAGGUCCCGAGCGUUGUCCGGAUUUAUUGGGCGUAAAGCGAGCGCAGGUGGUUUAUUAAGUCUGGUGUAAAAGGCAGUGGCUCAACCAUUGUAUGCAUUGGAGACUGGUAGGCUUGAGUGCAGGAGAGGAGAGUGGAAUUCCAUGUGUAGCGGUGAAAUGCGUAGAUAUAUGGAGGAACACCGGUGGCGAAAGCGGCUCUCUGGCCUGUAACUGACACUGAGGCUCGAAAGCGUGGGGAGCAAACAGG